UCCAGACUCCUACGGGAGGCAGCAGUGAGGAAUAUUGGUCAAUGGGCGGAAGCCUGAACCAGCCAAGUCGCGUGAGGGAAGAAGGCCCUGCGGGUCGCAGACCUCUUUGGACGGGGAGCAAGGCCGCCGACGUGUCGGCGGAAGGAGAGUACCCGUAGAACAAGCAUCGGCUAACUACGUGCCAGCAGCCGCGGUAAUACGUAGGGGGCAAGCGUUAUCCGGAUUUACUGGGUGUAAAGGGAGCGUAGACGGCAUGGCAAGUCAGAUGUGAAAGCCCGGGGCUCAACCCCGGGACUGCAUUUGAAACUGUCAGGCUGGAGUGCAGGAGAGGUAAGUGGAAUUCCUAGUGUAGCGGUGAAAUGCGUAGAUAUUAGGAGGAACACCAGUGGCGAAGGCGGCUUACUGGACUGUAACUGACGUUGAGGCUCGAAAGCGUGGGGAGCAAACAGGAUUAGAUACCCGAGUAU
Molecule: ribosomal RNA, 467 nt
Filed under: uncultured bacterium
Lineage: Bacteria
Description: bacterial SSU rRNA
Rfam family: Bacterial small subunit ribosomal RNA
Source: RNAcentral